This 100-nucleotide ribosomal RNA is filed under the name Nosema mylitta. Lineage: Eukaryota; Fungi; Microsporidia; Nosematidae. The record is from RNAcentral.
AGAUACGGCCAUAUCUACUGAAACACGGAACCAUCAGACUCCGAGUUAACCAGUAUGAGCUAAUCAGUACUAGAGGAGACACUUGGACGUUGGUGCUGUA